GAUGAAGAACGUAGCGAAAUGCGAUAAGUAAUGUGAAUUGCAGAAUUCAGUGAAUCAUCGAAUCUUUGAACGCACAUUGCGCCCCCUGGUAUUCCGGGGGGCAUGCCUGUUCGAGCGUCAUUUCACCACUCAAGCCUCGCUUGGUAUUGGGCAACGCGGUCCGCCGCGUGCCUCAAAUCGACCGGCUGGGUCUUCUGUCCCCUAAGCGUUGUGGAAACUAUUCGCUAAAGGGUGUUCGGGAGGCUACGCCGUAAAACAACCCCAUUUCCAAGGUUGACCUCGGAUCAGGUAGGGAUACCCGCUGAACUUAAGCAUAUCAAUAAGCGGAGGA
Molecule: unclassified non-coding RNA, 331 nt
Filed under: soil metagenome
Description: partial contains 5.8S ribosomal RNA, internal transcribed spacer 2, and large subunit ribosomal RNA
Rfam family: 5.8S ribosomal RNA (bases 1-120)
Source: RNAcentral